UAUGAAUAUCUAUGGGGAAUUAGGAUUUCAAAUUGGACGGCCGUUACAAUAAUGGAGUCCCGUACGUGCAGAAAAUACAACCGGAUUAUAUAAUCAGUCAAGAAAAAGACUGGUUAAUCAAGAAAACAUGAAAGAAAACAUUCUCCUUCAAUACAUAUAUCCAUCAGUGACAGUUGUGAAAAAGAAAAUUCUUUAGGAAAAUUACUUCAUUACAUUAGGGCCCUUGUCAAAAUAUGACAGGCGUUUCAAUUGCUUUUCUACCGAGUUCCAUAAAGCUGCACGGAUUCAGACAUUUUAUCUCCUAUUAUUAUGGAUUAGAGUUAUCAAAGACUGUUGCCGCCGCCGACAACAAACGUCUAACCAACCACAAUUCAAGUAACUGUGAUCAAGUUUCUAAUUCUUCAUCAAGGUGGUGUAGUCUUGUUUCAACAGGCGUUCAAAGGAGGAACAGGAAUCAUGAUUCCAUUGAGUUGGAGCUGUGAAUAACUUGAACAGUAUUAAAACGUUCGCGGUCAAUAACACAGUGUUAGACCUGUAAUAAUACGUUUUACAGAUAUUGCUUGUUUCGUGCUCAUGAUUAAUCAGAUUCCGACAACCAACUAAAUAUUUUACACCCAAGGAAACAAGUCGAGGCUAAAACAGCUAUUAGACGGAUUUAAGUGAAGUUCUCAUUUUGUUGAGAGGAAGUAAUUUUAAGCGAAAUAUUCACGGAGACUACACAAUUUCUAUAGCAAUGGUCCGGUAAUAAUGUAAGUUUUAUUUCUUUGAAAAUUGUGAACUGUCCGGUUAAAAAUCAUCUAAAUGAAAUAAUAUGGGGUUUAACUAAUAAUGUCUUACUCGUCUGCACUAAUUGGAAAUAAAAUGGUGUUUAAUGUCCUACUGUUCAGCUCACCUAAACAUUGCUCUUAUCUGUAGUUACGUGUUGUAAUCAACGAUUCGAGGAUAUAAUGCAUAAGAUAUUGUGAAUAUUGUAAUGGGACGAAACCAGUCUACACAUUGGUGUGCAUGUAAAAGAUCCCUUAGCAGUUGGAUAUUCAAGAAAAGUAAGACUCUAAAUCCCAUUUUAGUUUAUUUCUAUCACUUAAACAUUGCUCUUACAAGUAAAUCUAACUGCUCAUUGAAUAUGAAACUGAUCCAAUACCAAAAAAAUAAUUCAAUAUCGUAGAAGCCAAUUAGUUGAUGUAAUGGACAUCGGUUCAAUUAUCUACACAUGAAUGCAGUUUGUUAUGAGCAAGAAGGAGAUAAAAUAUGGCUUUGAUAAAGAACAGGUGCUUUAUAGACCAGUUGAUCGCCGUCGCCAACAAAUAAUCUUCUUGUAUAAUAAUACUAGUUUCACGAUAUAAAAUACCAUCUCGUCAUUCUUUACAGAAAUAAAACUGGGCAACGAUAAAUUCUACACCAUAGCUUUUACUCAAUUGUGAGAUAAAUAAUCGAGGAAAUUUGACGAAGCCUAGUUCUUCUUUUGAGCGGUUUAAUUUCCUUUUAUGAAUAGUGUAAGAAAAGAUGACAAUUAUGUAGUUGGAGAGGUGUAAUUGGAUAGGGACUGAAAUAGACCUUAAAGAGACCCUUAAAAUAUAAUCAGCUUUGUCAACACCAUCAAAGAUUUGUUUUUAUUAACUGUCUUUUCUGAUUGUGUUCAGUCUGAUAUGGACACACCAUUAUCUCAAUAAUAAACCAAUGAGAUUGUUCACCAAGUAGCUGUGCUUUAUAUCAAGUUUUAGUUUUUAAAGUAGAGCGAUGGGGUAACAUUCUCUUGUGGAUUUACAUCAAGUACUGGAAACAAUGUUCUCAAUUGGGCUAGACGAGAAGAAGCUGGCGUAACGAUCCUUACUAAUGUAUUAAUGGGCGAUUCGUCUGACAACACAGACAACUUGUAUAUAAUGAUAAUGAGAGAUAGUUAGAGUUUUUGUCGAGAAGGAAAGAAGUUUUAAAGCAGUAAGAACUGAUUGGUAUUAAUGAAUACUGCAGACACAAGGAUGGCAAACCUAGAGAAGAAGUUCAACUAGAGAAAGAUACAAGGAUUAUUGAUGGAGAAAAGAAGUUCUACUAGGUAGAUAAAGGGUUAGAGAGAGAGAGAGAGAGAGAGAGAGAGAGAGAGGAACCUCCAUUCAAUAGUAAAUCUGUCCUUGUGUGUUAUGGAGAAAAGAAGUUCUACUAGGGAGAGAUACAAGGAUUGUUAAUAGAUAGAGAAACCACUCAAUGGUAAAUCUUCUCGUGUGUGUUAUGAAGGAGUAAAUAAGUUACCUUACACCAUAGAGAUGUGAAGAUUUAUUAUAACAUAAGAAUUGGAUAUGUUACAAGUACAUGAAUCACUGACACAUGACAAGGUAAGUUCACUCUUAUAGAAAAUAACCUAACAACCAAAUCAUUCAGAUCACCAUGACAAAAU
Long non-coding RNA from Patella vulgata (common limpet), 2389 nucleotides. RefSeq lists it as uncharacterized. The transcript is spliced from 3 exons. The record is from RefSeq and is a predicted model, not a curated record. NCBI's taxonomy places the organism in Eukaryota, Metazoa, Mollusca, Gastropoda, Patellidae.